ACCACAAAUGUUGGCAAGGACAUGAAAAAAAGGGAACCCAAGUCCACUGUUAGUGGGAAUGUAAAUUGAUGCAGCCACUGUGAAAAAUAGUAUGGAGGUUCCUUAAAAAAUUGAAAAUAUAAUUGCUGUUUGAAUGAAUGCCACUGCUGGGUAUAUAGCCAAAGAAAAUGAAAACACUAAUUCAAAAAGAUAUAUACUUCCCCCCCGCCCUGCAGUGUUCAGGCAGCUUUAUUUACAAUAGUCAAGUUAUGUAAGCUACCUAAGUAUCCAUCAGUAGAUGAAUAGAUAAAGAAGAUGUGGUGUAUUUAUACAAUGGAAUAUUAACCAUAAAAAAAGAAUGAAAUUUUGCAACAAUAUGGUUGGACCUGGAGGGCAUUAGACUUAGUGAAAUAAAUUAGAGAAAUACAAAUACUAUAUGAUAUCCUUUAAAUGUGGAAUCUAAAAAAUAAAUGAAUAUGACAAAAUGGAAACAGAAUCAGAUUUAGAGAAUAAACUAGUGAUUUCCGUCUGGGAGAGGGAAGUGGACAGAGUCAAGGAAAGGAUAGGAAACCAAGAGGCACAAACUACUGUGUGUACUAUAGUAAGCUGUAUAUUGACCACUGUGUGUACUAUAAUAAGCUGUAUACUGACCACUGUGUAUACUAUAAAUAAACUGUAUAUUGUACAAUACAGGGGAUACAGCCAAUAUUUUAAAAUAACUCAAGUGGGAUAUGAUCUUUGAAAAUAUUGAAACACUGUGUCAUACAUCUGAAACCAGUAUUAUAAAUCAACUACACUUCAAUAAAAAAUAAAAUUUAAAAAGAACUAGAAUGGAAUCUGAUGUUCAACAGCAACUCUGAACCAGGGAGAUAGUAGGACAGAACUACCAAAAUCCUGAGAAAAGAUUAUUUCCAACCUAGAAUUCUAUACCUAUUCAUACUAUCGGUCAAAGAUAAAGGAAGAUAAAGUCCUAUUCAGGCAUGCAAUAUCUCAAAAGAUUUCCUCCCCUUAUCCUUUCUCCUCUUAAACUAAUGAGUAAACCAAGGGGGAAAAAAACAUGAGUUUCAGGAAAUGGGCUCCAACACCAUGAGGAAGAGAAGGGAAUUUCCAGGAGGGUAGGUAUUUAGCAGGUAUAGAAAAUGUCCAGUCCAAGGAGGAGCAAGAGAGUAGUGGGCUCCAGGAGGGAUGUCUCCAAGAAAAAAUAAAAAGGAAACUUAGAGAAUAUCAUAUAUGUUGUUUGAAUAUGUGGAGAAAAAGAAUUAUACUUUGAUGAAGCAUUUGGUGAAGCAUGUGGAAAACCAAGCAAAUAAAAAAUGUGAAAUAUUAACUUAAAAGUCAAAAGCUAUAAAGAAAGAAAAUAUAAUCAGAAUACACUGUUUCAAACAGUUGUGAAUGUUAUUUAUGUAUUGAUAAUGUAAGCCCUAAACAUUAAUUAAAACAUACUCAGUGGUGAAAGACUGAAAAUUUUUUCUCUAAGAUCAUGAACAGGACAGGAGUGCCCACCCUUACCAUUCCUAUUCAACAUAGCACUGGAAGACCUAGCCAGAGCAAUCAGGCAAGAAAAUGAGGAAAAAAUACAUACAAAUCACAAAGAAAGAAGUAAAAUUGCCUUUGUUUACAGAUAAUAUGACUUUAUUAAUAUAUAAAGAAAAUUCUAAAAACAUCAUCAAAAACACUGUUAGACUAAUCAAUGAAUUCAGUAAAGGUACAGGACACAAAGCAUUCAGAAAACAGUUGCAUUUCUCUAACAGCAAAAUAUCUGAAAAAGAAAUAAGACAGUCUCAUUCAUACUGGCAUUGAAAACAAUAAAAUACUUAGGAAUGAAUUUAAGGAGAUGAAAGCUCUGUAUACUGAAAAGUAGAAGACUGAUGAAAGACACAAACAAAUGGAAAUAUAUCCUGUGUUCAUGGAUCAGAAGAAUUAAUAUUGUUAAAAUAGCCUUAUUACCCAAAGCCAUCUAUAAAUUCAGUGCAUUCCCUGUCAACCUUUCAGUUAUAUUUUCCACAGAAAUAGAAAAAUUCUAAAAUUUGUAUCAUAAAAGAGCCCAAAUAGCCAAAGCAAUUGUAAGAAAGAAGAACACACCUGGAGGCAUUGUCUGUCCUGAUUUCAAACUGUACCACAAAACAGUAUGGGACUGGCAUAAAAAUAGACCCAUAGAUCAUUGGAAGAGAACCGAGAUCCUAGAGAGGGGAAAGGAUAAUCUCUUCAAUAAACAGUUCUGGGAAAACUGGAUAACAACAUGAAGAAUAAAAUUAAACCCCUGUAUUACACGGUUCACAAGAAUUAAUUCAAAAUGGUUUAAAGACUCAAACAUAAGAACUGAAGUCCCUAAACUCCUCUGAGAAAACAUAAGGGAAAAGCUCCUUUACAUCAGUCUUAGAAAUGAUUUUUCACAUAGGACGCCAAAAGCACAAGCUACAACAGCAAACAUUAGAUUACAUCAAACUAAAAAGUUCUACACAAUAAAAGAACCAAUCAACAAAAUGAAAAGACAGCUUAUGGAAUGGGAGAAUAUUUGCAAAUAUUUGUCUGAUAAGGAGUUAAUACCAAAAUAUAUAUAUAACUCCUAUAACUCCAUAGUAAAAAAAAAAAUUCAGUUAAAAAGGGGGCAGAGGAGCAGAACUUCCUUUCCAAAGAAGAUACAAAAAACAGGCACAUGACAAUGCUCGACAUCACUAAUCAUCAGGGAAUACAUAUCAAAACCACGAUUAGAUCCCACCUUAUAUCUGUUAGAAUGGCUGUCAUCAGAAGACAAGAGGUGACUAAUGUCGGCAAGGAUGUAGAGAAGAGAGAACCCUCCUUCACUGUGGGGUGGGGUAUGUAAAUUUGGUAUACAGCAAUUAUGGAAACUGACAGUUUGGAGGCUCCUCAGAAAAUUAAAAUCAGAACCAUAGGAUCCAACAAUCCCACUUCUUGGGUAUAUAUCGAAAGGAAAUGAAAAAAGAAUCUCAAAGAAAUGUCUUCACGCCUAUGUUCAUUGCAGCACUAUUCACAAUAGCCAAGAUACGGGAACAACCUCAGUGUCCAUAGAAGGGUGAAUAGAUGAAGAAGAUUUGGUGUAUAUAAUGGAAUAUCAUUUAGCCAUGAGAAAGAAGGACAUCGUGCCAGUUAAAACAACACGAAUGGACCUUGAGGGCAAUAUGCCAAGGGAUACGUCAUAGAAAAACAAAUAGGGAUGAUACCACUUAUAUGUCGAAUCUAAAAAAGCUGAACUAAUGGAAACAGGUAGAAUGGUGGUUGCCCGGGAGUUGGGUAGGGGAGAAGGGGAGGUACAGAUUAUGAGCACAAACUUCUAGUUAGAGGGUGAGUAGUUCUGGAGAUCUAACUACAGCAUGAUGAUUGUGGUUAACAAUACUGUGUUAUAUACUUGAAAGCUGCUAAAAGAAGAGACCUUAAAUGUUCUCGCCACAAAAAAAAGAAAUGGUUAAUUAUAUGAGGUGAUGGAGGCAUAUGCUAAAGCUAAGAUAGUAAUCAUUUUGCAAAAUAUAUGUGGAUCAAAUCAACACAUUGUACACCUUGGACUUACAUGCUGUUACAUGUCGAUUAUAUCUCAGUAAAACUGGGGAGAAAUCUUUUAGAACUUCAGUAUAAUUAUACUGAGAAAAAGAGGAGUGGGAAAAUGAGUGUACUUGGGAGUUUAAGCUGCCAAGGAGAAUGAAACCUGUGUCUUCCAUAGUGGGAAGUCAGUAGACAUUCUCUGAAAAUGAAAAAAAUGAAGAAAUUUCAGUGAGAACAAGUAAUUUAGGAGUGUGAAGGUGGGUUCCAGAAGAAACAGUUAAAAUACUGCCUCUAGGGAUAGACAAUUAGUGGUGGAGAAAAAAAACCUGCUGUUUUUCCUGUUACACCUAGCAGUGCUAUUUGACUUUUUAAGAUAUUUCACAUAUUUGAUAAAAAUAAACUAAUUUAAAAUAAAGUGCAUACUGACUUAUUUUUAGCACUGCUAUUUCAUUUAUUAAAGAGUUCUGCAUUCUUUUUGACUGUGUGCUAAUUUUGAAACCUCAAGGUUUUCCCUUAUCUCAGGGCUUAUAAUUCUUUAAUCUCAUGUUCCAGUCUGCAUGCAGGGUGAGAAUUAAAUAUAGCCAGAGUACAUUCAUCUCUGUCAUUCAUUUAAGCAGUAAGAGGGAUGAAGAGGUCAUCCAGGGAGCAUCAAGUACCAGGACAUGGGCAUCCUGUGUAAUUUCCCUUUUACCACCAUUUGCUUGAAUUUCAGAGAGGUCAACUGAGAGCCAUAUAGAUGGGGCUGGGGUGGAUAGGAAGGAGCCAGCACUGCUCAGUUUGGAGAAGGGACGCUUGAGUCAUGACUUCAUCGCUUGCAAGUAUACAGAAGAUGGUUUCCAGCUGCUUUGGAUUUGCUGAGAAGGAAGUGAGGAAGUGGAUUCACAGCUGAGCCUAAGGAAUUUCGGUAGGAGACACAUGAGUUUGCUAACCCUGACAAGAGCUGCUGAGGACCUGUUCUUCAUAACAAAGAGUUUCCUUUUUUCUUUGGGAUUGGAUAAAUGAACCUCACAGAUUCCCCCACAGUCCUCCCAACCCCAUCUUGCAGUGAUUCUGCUGAAAGAAAUGUCAGGAAAGGACAAGGUCUCUUCAGGGACACACCGCGCUCCUUUGCCCAGGACCAGACUGACAGUGGAGGCCAAGCAUCCUGUGCAGCCUGAUCCUUGUCCAGGAGCCGCAACACAGAAUGAAUUAUCCAUGCUGUUGAAGAGUUCUCAGUGAGCACUCGACUGGAUCUAACCAGAGCUAAAACGUGCCUCCAAGAUUCCUAAGUUUCUGGACCAAGCCCAAAAGCGUCUGGAGCCAUCACCGGGAUGUGACACGGAUGAGCGCCAUCCAGACAGUGCAGACACCACCCUGCCUUAAGUGGUCAGUCCCAUCCCUGCAAAACCUCAGAAAACGGAUGCCUAAGCCCAAACUUCAGUACCUGGAGGACCAGCCCUUGAGGCCUGUGAAUCACUUGUUUCCAUAUCAGAUGGAGAGCAAGCGCUGCCCUCGUCUACCUGCACCCCUGCUUGAGAACCAGUCAACUCUAAGGCACAUGGAUCUCAAUGGGAAAGUAAACAGUCUUCCUCUUAAAAAAAAAAAAAAAAAAAGACUGAGGAAAGGGGAAAAAAAGUGUCAGAUUUUCCUGGCUGUGCUACUUUUCUAGUUUAUCAGAUCUAAGUGAAUUCAUAUCAGCAAUAGCUUCCCUGGCAUUUCCUAUUUUCAACAAUAUUGAGUUGAAACACACAUCGCCCUUUUUGUGGGACAACUGGAUUGCAGCUACUCUGCUCCCAAUAUUACUUUCAUGUUCUCUCUUCCUUCCUGGAUGAUUUAAAUAACAGCAAAAUGUGGCCGUUGCCAGCUCUUGAAACAUUUCUGGCUGCAUUCCUUUUCCUCCCUGAAAACCUAGGCUCUGGUCAAAACCUUAAUUCAUAGUGACUUAUUAGCAACCAGAGCGAGCUGUAGAAUAAUCCAUUAUGAAGAAAGCAAGCCUCCCUUGGAGCUUCUCGGAAAGGGCCUCACUUUCUAGAACUGGCCUCAGUGGGCCAGGGAAGGGGUGACAUCAGCCCUCCCGCCUUUGUUUUAUCUUUCAGGUGUGGGGGAGGGGGAAGAAAGAUGUGCCCAUUCUGUUCUUUUUCACUUUUUUUCCCUGCCUGUGAAACUGACUUUUGCAUUCUUGAGAGCUGUGUCAUGACAAGUCCCGUAAAUGAUUCACA
Molecule: long non-coding RNA, 5675 nt
Organism: Bubalus bubalis (water buffalo)
Lineage: Eukaryota; Metazoa; Chordata; Mammalia; Artiodactyla; Bovidae
Exons: 2
Source: RefSeq, a predicted model, not a curated record